Molecule: ribosomal RNA, 443 nt
Filed under: uncultured bacterium
Lineage: Bacteria
Description: partial 16S ribosomal RNA
Rfam family: Bacterial small subunit ribosomal RNA
Source: RNAcentral
CCUACGGGUGGCAGCAGUGGGGAAUAUUGGGCAAUGGGCGCAAGCCUGACCCAGCAACGCCGCGUGAAGGAAGAAGGCCCUCGGGUUGUAAACUUCUUUUAUUCGGGACGAAACAACUCACGGUACCGAAUGAAUCAGACACGGCUAACUACGUGCCAGCAGCCGCGGGAAUACGUAGGGGGCAGGCGUUAUCCGGAUUUACUGGGUGUAAAGGGCGUGUAGGCGGGAGUGCCAGGCAGACGGGAAAUUCGAGGACUCAACCCUGGAACUGCGUUUGAAACUGAUCUUCUUGAGUGAGGGAGAGGCAGGCGGAAUUCCGGGUGUAGCGGUGAAAUGCGUAGAUAUACGGAGGAACACCAGUGGCGAAGGCGGCCUGCUGGACAUUAACUGACGCUGAGGCGCGAAAGCGUGGGGAGCAAACAGGAUUAGAUACCCGUGUAGUC